Molecule: small nuclear RNA, 107 nt
Organism: Zootoca vivipara (common lizard)
Lineage: Eukaryota; Metazoa; Chordata; Lepidosauria; Squamata; Lacertidae
Source: RefSeq, a predicted model, not a curated record
GUGGCUACUUCGGCAGCACAUAGACUGAAAUUGGAAUGAUACAGAGAAGAUUAGCAUGCCCCCUGCAAAAGGAUGACACAGAAAUUAAUGAAGCAUUCCAUAUUUUG